GAUGAACGCUGGCGGCGUGCCUAAUACAUGCAAGUCGAGCGAACAGACGAGGAGCUUGCUCCUUCGACGUUAGCGGCGGACGGGUGAGUAACACGUAGGUAACCUACCUAUAAGACUGGGAUAAUUUCGGGAAACCGGCGCUAAUACCGGAUAAUCUUUCGCACCGCAUGGUUCGUUAGUGAAAGAUGGCUUUGCUAUCACUUAUAGCUGGACCUGCGCCGUAUUAGCUAGUUGUUCAGGUAACGGCUUACGAAGGCAACGAGACGUAGCCGACCUGAUAGGGUGAUCGGCCACACUGGAACUGAGACACGGUCCAGACGCCUACGGGAGGCAGCAGUAGGCAAUCUUCCGCAAUGGGCGAAAGCCUGACGGAGCAACGCCGCGUGAGUUAUGAAGGUCUUCGGAUCGUAAAACUCUGUUAUUAGGGAAGAACAAACGUGGAAGUAACUGUGCACGUCUUGACGGUACCUAAUCAGAAAGCCACGGCUAACUACGUG
This 497-nucleotide ribosomal RNA is filed under the name uncultured bacterium. Its description in RNAcentral is "partial 16S ribosomal RNA". It matches the Rfam family "Bacterial small subunit ribosomal RNA", at positions 28 to 507 of the family's 1533-position model. The record is from RNAcentral.